CAGAGAGGGGCCGAUACUUAGGAGCCACGUUCUCCCGGACGAGCCCGACUCCCGUAUUCAUGUGGUGUUAUCACAGCUUUCCCCUCCAUCCUGCUUCAACCACGAGUUCAACUUCCUGCCUAUUCCCUUCGCUCUGCGAGGAGGAUUUCCCAUCUGGAGCCAAAGCCUAAGAUCC
Long non-coding RNA from Betta splendens (Siamese fighting fish), 175 nucleotides. RefSeq lists it as uncharacterized. Lineage: Eukaryota; Metazoa; Chordata; Actinopteri; Anabantiformes; Osphronemidae. The transcript has 2 exons. The record is from RefSeq and is a predicted model, not a curated record.